GCGAGCUCCCCCACGGCCGCUGAGGGCCACGCGGCGACGCCUCAUGCCCGGUGGCUGUGCGCUGCACCGCUAGUGCGGUUUUGCCUCCCCAGCGCCUACGUCUACACCGCGCGCGCAGCCCACGGCCCUGCCGCCAUGCUCCUGCAUCUCCGCCUCCCUUCCUACAGAUAUGGCAAGGAGUAG
Molecule: long non-coding RNA, 183 nt
Filed under: Oryza sativa Indica Group (long-grained rice)
Lineage: Eukaryota; Viridiplantae; Streptophyta; Magnoliopsida; Poales; Poaceae
Also listed under: 2 other names
Description: lncRNA OsLiXu_04g0008790
Source: RNAcentral